RNAcentral lists this long non-coding RNA (231 nucleotides) under Phoenix dactylifera (date palm). RNAcentral's name for it is "long non-coding RNA (PDAC_LNC017077)". The record is from RNAcentral. Lineage: Eukaryota; Viridiplantae; Streptophyta; Magnoliopsida; Arecales; Arecaceae.
AGUUGUUCUGAUCCUAAAUCAAUCUGAUCGAAGAAUGUUGAGAAGCAUCCAGUUGUUAGGGUGUGCUAAUUUAAUAUUUAGAUUUUAAAAGGGCAAAUAGGAUGGGUUUGAAAGUAGGGGUUCUAUGUUCUGAAUUUUGACAGCAAAAGUAAGUUUUCAAAAUGUGGCUAUCAUGCAAGAGAACUAGAACAUAAUUAAAUGAACAAGCCCAAAAAAAAGUGGAAACCUAUC